AGUUUGAUCAUGGCUCAGGAUGAACGCUAGCGUCAGGCCUAAUACAUGCAAGACGAACGGUAAGUUGAGUAGCAAUACUUAGCCAAGAGUGUCGUACGGGUGCGUAACACGUAUGCAACCUACCCUAUACAGGAGGAUAGCCUAGGGAAACCUGGAUUAACCCUUCAUAGUAUUAUUGGAUGGCAUCAUUUGAUAAUUAAAACUGAGGUGGUAUAGGAUGGGCAUGCGUCUGAUUAGUUAGUUGGCGGGGUAAUGGCCCACCAAGACGAUGAUCAGUAGGGGGUUCUGAGAGGAAGAUCCCCCACACUGGCACUGAGAUACGGGCCAGACUCCUACGGGAGGCAGCAGUAGGGAAUAUUGGUCAAUGGAUGCAAGUCUGAACCAGCCAUGCCGCGUGCAGGAAGAAGGCCUUCUGGGUUGUAAACUGCUUUUGCCAGGGGAUAAAAUUUCCAUGCGUGGAAAACUGAAGGUACCUGGUGAAUAAGCCACGGCUAACUACGUG
RNAcentral lists this ribosomal RNA (502 nucleotides) under uncultured bacterium. RNAcentral's name for it is "bacterial SSU rRNA". It matches the Rfam family "Bacterial small subunit ribosomal RNA", at positions 10 to 507 of the family's 1533-position model. The record is from RNAcentral.